ACAAGAGAGAUAUGCUGGAUUUCGUAUCACAAAACCACAAGUCGAACACUUCCCAAGUGUCUAGGACUGUGUGAUGUAUUUUUCGAUGAUGCGUGCAGUUCCCAGUAGGGUGGCCUUUUGCAGUUGGCAGAUCGUAAUUUUGUCAAUAUCUAUUGUUUCAAAAUGCCAGCUGAGAUCUUUUGGCACGGCACCCAGUGUGCCCAUCACCACCGGGACCACCUGCACUGGUUUCUGCCUGAGUCUUUGCAGUUCAAUCUUGAGGUCCUGAUAGCGGCUGAAUUUUUCCUGUUGUUUUUCGUCAAUGCGACUGUCACCUGGGAUGGCGACAUCAAUGAUCCAAACCUUUUUCUUUUCCACAACUGGGAUGUCUGGUGUGUUGUGUUCCAGAACUUUGUCAGUCUGGAUUUGGAAGUCCCACAGUAUCUUUGUGUGUUCAUUUUUCACGACCUUUGCAGGUGUGUGAUCCCACCAGUUCUUUGCUGCUGGGAGGUGGUACUUGAGGCAUAAGUUCCAAUGAAUCCUUUGGGCCACGUAGUUGUGCCUCUGUUUGUAGUCUGUCUGUGCGAUUUUCUUACAGCAGCUGAUGAUCCAAAAUGCAGACUGUGUAAGGAAGCUGAUGAAACAAUUGAUCACAUCCUCAGCUGCUGUAAGAAAAUCGCACAGACUGACUACAAACAGAGACACAACUAUGUGGCCCAAAUGAUUCAUUGGAAUUUAUGCCUCAAGUACCACCUCCCAGCAGCAAAGAACUGGUGGGAUCACAAACCUGCAAAAGUAUUGGAGAAUGACCAUGGAAAGAUACUGUGGGACUUCCGAAUCCAGACUGACAAAGUUCUGGAACACAACACACCAGACAUCACAGCUGUGGAAAAGACAAAGGUUUGGAUCAUUGAUGUCGCCAUCCCAGGUGACAGUCGCAUUGAGGAAAAACAACAGGAAAAACUCAGGAUGUCAAGAUUGAACUUCAAAGACUCUGGCAGAAACCAGUGCAGGUGGUCCUGGUGGUGA
Molecule: long non-coding RNA, 1008 nt
Filed under: Anolis carolinensis (green anole)
Lineage: Eukaryota; Metazoa; Chordata; Lepidosauria; Squamata; Anolidae
Description: lncRNA (ENSACAG00000031057.2)
Source: RNAcentral